GUGGGGAAUCUUCCGCAAUGGACGAAAGUCUGACGGAGCAACGCCGCGUGAGUGAUGAAGGUCUUCGGAUUGUAAAGCUCUGUUAAUCGGGACGAAAGAGCCUAGUGUGAAUAAUGCUAGGAAGUGACGGUACCGGAAUAGAAAGCCACGGCUAACUACGUGCCAGCAGCCGCGGUAAUACGUAGGUGGCAAGCGUUGUCCGGACUUAUUGGUCGUAAAGCGCGCGCAGGCGGAUCUGCGAGUCUAUCUUAAAAGUUCGGGGCUUAACCCCGUGAUGGGAUGGAAACUACAGAUCUAGAGUAUCGGAGAGGAAAGUGGAAUUCCGAGUGUAGCGGUGAAAUUCGUAGAUAUUAGGAAGAACACCAGUGGCGAAGGCGACUUUCUGGACGAAAACUGACGCUGAGGCGCGAAAGCCAGGGGAGCGAACGGGAUUAGAUACCCUGGUAGUCC
This 450-nucleotide ribosomal RNA is filed under the name uncultured bacterium. Its description in RNAcentral is "partial 16S ribosomal RNA". It matches the Rfam family "Bacterial small subunit ribosomal RNA", at positions 354 to 796 of the family's 1533-position model. The record is from RNAcentral.